UCAGCCAGAACAGAGAGUCUUGGUCCUGAACCUAACACUACUUUUUCCUAAGAUUAUACAUGCAAGCCUCAACAAGACUGUGAGUCGCCCACCAAAUCACCAAGAAGGAGCGGAGCAAACAAAGAAAUCAAGCAGAAUCCAAACAACGGUCAACCCACGCCUACACAGGAACUCAGCAGUAAUUAACAUUAGGCCAUGAGCGGAAGCUCGACCUAGCUAUAGGAACACCCAGCCGGUAAAACUCGUGCCAGCGACCGCGGUUAUACGAGUGGCUCAAAAUAGCACCAACGGCGAAAACAUGGCCAGAGCGAAUCGACUAAGCCUAGGGAGAAAGGAUUAACGAGCCGUCUAACGCCAAGAACAAACGAACACCACCCCCCAGCAACGCCAGAUCCCCUUGAACCAUAAAAGCUACGGAACAAACUAGGAUUAGAUACCCUACUAUGCCUAGCCGUAAAAGGGGCGCACCCCGCCAGAUAAGUAAAAGCGAAAGCUUAAAAUUCAAAGGACUUGACGGCACCUCACAUCAGCCUAGAGGAGCCUGUCCUAUAAUCGACAACCCACGCUGAAACCUCACCACCCCUAGCCAACCAGCCUAUAUACCGCCGUCGUCAGCUCACCCUGCAAGAGAGCCAAAGUGAGCAAAACAGUUCCUGCACUAAAACGACAGGUCAAAGCGUAGCUUAUGGGGCGGGCUGAGAUGGGCUACAUUUUCUAAAACAGACCCCACCAGAAAGCACUUGAAAAACGCCAACAAGUUGGAUUUAGCAGUAAGGUAGGACAGAAAGCCCACCUGAACACAGCACCGAGGUGCGCACACACCGCCCGUCACCCCCAUCCACACAAACAACAAAAACUUCAUAAUGAGAGCCCACCAGAAAGAAGGGGAAAGUCGUAACAAGGUGGGCGUACUGGAAAGUGCGCCCGUGCAC
Molecule: non-coding RNA, 932 nt
Filed under: Leptotyphlops kafubi
Lineage: Eukaryota; Metazoa; Chordata; Lepidosauria; Squamata; Leptotyphlopidae
Description: partial 12S ribosomal RNA
Rfam family: Bacterial small subunit ribosomal RNA
Source: RNAcentral